CCUACGGGAGGCAGCAGUGGGGAAUAUUGCACAAUGGGGGAAACCCUGAUGCAGCGACGCCGCGUGAGUGAAGAAGGAAUUCGGGAUGGAAAGCUCGAUCAGCAGGGAAGAAAAGGACGGUACCUGAGUAAGAAGCCCCGGCGAACUACGUGCCAGCAGCCGCGGUAAUACGAAGGGGGCAAGCGUUAUCCGGAGUGACUGGGUGUCAAGGGAGCGUAGACGGCAGGGCAAGUCUGGAGUGAAAGGCGGGGGCUCAACCCCCGGACUGCUCUGGAAACUGUACGGCUGGAGUGCAGGAGAGUUCAGUGGAAUUCCUCGUGUAGCGGUGACAUGCGUAGAUAUUAGGAGGACCCCCAGUGGCGCAGGCGGCUUACUGCACUGUACCUGACGUUGAGGCUC
Molecule: ribosomal RNA, 399 nt
Filed under: uncultured bacterium
Lineage: Bacteria
Description: partial 16S ribosomal RNA
Rfam family: Bacterial small subunit ribosomal RNA
Source: RNAcentral